AAUCUUGGUCAAUGGGGGGAACCCUGAUCUAGCCAUGCCGCGAGUGUGAAGAAGGUCUUCGGAUUGUAAGGCACUUUAUGUUGGGAGGAAGAGUUGUAGGCUAAUACCUUGCAAUUUUGACGUUACCAACAGAUUAAGCACCGGCUAACUUCGUGCCAGCAGCCGCGGUAAUACGACGGGUGCAAGCGUUCAUCGGAAUUACUGGGCGUAAAGCGCGCGUAGGUGGUUCGUUAAGUUGGAAGUGAAAGCCCCGGGCUUAACCUGGGAAUUGCUUUCAAAACUGACGAGCUAGAGUACGGUAGAGGGUAGUGGAAUUUCCUGUGUAGCGGUGAAAUGCGUAGAUAUAGGAAGGAACAUCAGUGGCGAAGGCGACUACCUGGACUGAUACUGACACUGAGGUGCGAAAGCGUGGGGAGCAAACA
Molecule: ribosomal RNA, 422 nt
Filed under: uncultured bacterium
Lineage: Bacteria
Description: partial 16S ribosomal RNA
Rfam family: Bacterial small subunit ribosomal RNA
Source: RNAcentral